GUUGCUUCGGCGGCGCGGCCUCCCUCACGGGGGCGCCGCAGCCCCGCCUCUCCGGAGGCGUGGGGCACCCGCCGGAGGUACGAAACUCUGUAUUAUAGUGGCAUCUCUGAGUAAAAAACAAAUAAGUUAAAACUUUCAACAACGGAUCUCUUGGUUCUGGCAUCGAUGAAGAACGCAGCGAAAUGCGAUAAGUAAUGUGAAUUGCAGAAUUCAGUGAAUCAUCGAAUCUUUGAACGCACAUUGCGCCCGCUAGUACUCUAGCGGGCAUGCCUGUUCGAGCGUCAUUUCAACCCUCAAGCCCUGCUUGGUGUUGGGGCCCUACGGCUGCCGUAGGCCCUGAAAGGAAGUGGCGGGCUCGCUACAACUCCGAGCGUAGUAAUUCAUUAUCUCGCUAGGGAGGUGCGGCGUGCUCCUGCCGUUAAAGACCCCAUCUUUAACCAAGGUUGACCUCGGAUCGGGUAGGAAUACCCGCUGAACUUAAGCAUAUCA
RNAcentral lists this ribosomal RNA (489 nucleotides) under Sordariomycetes sp. C HL4-061. RNAcentral's name for it is "eukaryotic LSU rRNA". The stretch from base 131 to 284 matches the Rfam family "5.8S ribosomal RNA". Lineage: Eukaryota; Fungi; Ascomycota; Sordariomycetes. The record is from RNAcentral.